CGAACUGUGCGAACGUUAUUCGGAAUCACUGGGCUUACAGGGUGCGUAGGCGGCUAUUCAGGUCAGGUGUGAAAGCCCUCGGCUCAACCGAGGAACUGCGCUUGAAACCGGAUGGCUCGAGUCAGCUAGAGGUACACGGAACUUCCAGUGGAGCGGUGAAAUGUGUUGAUAUUGGAAGGAACACCGGAGGCGAAAGCGGUGUACUGGGGCUGGUCUGACGCUGAGGCACGAAAGCCAGGGGAGCGAACGGGAUUAGAUACCCCGGUAGUCCUGGCCGUAAACGAUGAGUGCUGGACGGGAGGAGGUUCGCCUUCUCCGGUCGGAGCGAAAGCGGGAAGCACUCCGCCUGGGGAGUAUGGUCGCAAGGCUG
Molecule: ribosomal RNA, 370 nt
Filed under: uncultured organism
Description: bacterial SSU rRNA
Rfam family: Bacterial small subunit ribosomal RNA
Source: RNAcentral